UACAGAGGCCUCAAGCGUUAGGCGGAAUCACUGGGCUUAAAGCGUGUGUAGGCGGGUCGUUAAGUACCUUGUGAAAUCCCACGGCUUAACUGUGGAACGGCUUGGUAUACUGGCGAUCUUGAGCCACUUAGGGGCUACCGGAACAGAUGGUGGAGCGGUGAAAUGCGUAGAUAUCGAGAGGAACACCUGCGGCGAAGGCGGGUUGCUGGGCUGACACUGACGCUGAAGCGCGAAAGCUAGGGGAGCGAACGGG
Molecule: ribosomal RNA, 253 nt
Filed under: uncultured bacterium
Lineage: Bacteria
Description: partial 16S ribosomal RNA
Rfam family: Bacterial small subunit ribosomal RNA
Source: RNAcentral